UUACGGCCAUACCACAUCGAAACACCAGUUUCCGCACAGUCACAGAAGUUAAGCAACACCGAGCCUGGUCAUUACCUAGAUAGGUGACCACUUGGGAAUAUCAUGUGCUGUAAG
Molecule: non-coding RNA, 114 nt
Organism: Acanthosepion pharaonis
Lineage: Eukaryota; Metazoa; Mollusca; Cephalopoda; Sepiida; Sepiidae
Source: the annotation of a GenBank genome assembly